UACGGAGGGGGCUAGCGUUGUUCGGAAUUACUGGGCGUAAAGCGCACGUAGGCGGCUUUUUAAGUCAGAGGUGAAAGCCCGGGGCUCAACCCCGGAAUUGCCUUUGAGACUGGAUCGCUUGAACGUCGGAGAGGUGAGUGGAAUUCCGAGUGUAGAGGUGAAAUUCGUAGAUAUUCGCAAGAACACCAGUGGCGAAGGCGGCCAACUGGUCCGAUACUGACGCUGAGGCGCGGAAGCCGUGGGGAGCAAACAGG
Molecule: ribosomal RNA, 254 nt
Filed under: uncultured bacterium
Lineage: Bacteria
Description: partial 16S ribosomal RNA
Rfam family: Bacterial small subunit ribosomal RNA
Source: RNAcentral